GACGUAGGGGGCGAGCGUUGUCCGAAGUUACUGGGCGUAAAGCGCGCGUAGGCGGCCUCUUAAGUUGGGUGUGAAAUCCUGCGGCCCAACCGCAGAACUGCAUCCAAAACUGGGAGGCUUGAGGACGGAAGAGGGCAGUGGAAUUCCUGGUGUAGCGGUGAAAUGCGUAGAUAUCAGGAGGAACACCCGUGGCGAAGGCGGCUGCCUGGUCCGUAUCUGACGCUGAGGUGCGAAAGCCAGGGGAGCGAACGGG
Molecule: ribosomal RNA, 253 nt
Filed under: uncultured bacterium
Lineage: Bacteria
Description: partial 16S ribosomal RNA
Rfam family: Bacterial small subunit ribosomal RNA
Source: RNAcentral